ACGGCGAGUGAAGCGGCAAAAGCUCAAAUUUGAAAUCUGGCCCUUUCAGGGUCCGAGUUGUAAUUUGUAGAGGAUGCUUCGGGAGCGGCGGCGGUCUAAGUCCCCUGGAACGGGGCGUCAUAGAGGGUGAGAAUCCCGUAUGUGGCUAGAGACUUUAACCAUGUAAAGUUCCUUCGACGAGUCGAGUUGUUUGGGAAUGCAGCUCUAAAUGGGAGGUAAAUUUCUUCUAAAGCUAAAUAUUGGCCAGAGACCGAUAGCGAACAAGUAGAGUGAUCGAAAGAUGAAAAGCACUUUGGAAAGAGAGUUAAAUAGUAUGUGAAAUUGUUGAAAGGGAAGCGCUUGUAAUCAGACUUGUUUAUAGGAGUUCAACUUGGCUUCUGUCUUGUGUACUCUCCUAUAUACAGGCUAGCAUCAGUUUGGAUGGUAGGAUAAAGAUGUUAGGAAUGUGGCUUCAUCGCUUCGGUGGUGAAGUGUUAUAGCCUAAUGUGUCAUACUAUCAAUCUGGACUGAGGAACGCACUU
RNAcentral lists this ribosomal RNA (521 nucleotides) under uncultured Chalara. RNAcentral's name for it is "eukaryotic LSU rRNA". It matches the Rfam family "Eukaryotic large subunit ribosomal RNA", at positions 86 to 614 of the family's 3401-position model. Lineage: Eukaryota; Fungi; Ascomycota; Leotiomycetes; Helotiales. The record is from RNAcentral.